AUCUAAUAUGGCAGAUAAAUGCCUUAAAUUUAAGAUUUACUUAUGAAUUUUUAUUCUAUUAGA
RNAcentral lists this transfer RNA (63 nucleotides) under Blastopsylla occidentalis. Its description in RNAcentral is "tRNA-Leu". Lineage: Eukaryota; Metazoa; Arthropoda; Insecta; Hemiptera; Aphalaridae. The record is from RNAcentral.